AGCGAACGCUGGCGGCAGGCUUAACACAUGCAAGUCGAGCGGGCAUAGCAAUAUGUCAGCGGCAGACGGGUGAGUAACGCGUGGGAACGUACCUUUUGGUUCGGAACAACUGAGGGAAACUUCAGCUAAUACCGGAUAAGCCCUUACGGGGAAAGAUUUAUCGCCGAAAGAUCGGCCCGCGUCUGAUUAGCUAGUUGGUGAGGUAAUGGCUCACCAAGGAGACGAUCAGUAGCUGGUCUGAGAGGAUGAUCAGCCACAUUGGGACUGAGACACGGCCCAAACUCCUACGGGAGGCAGCAGUGGGGAAUAUUGGACAAUGGGCGCAAGCCUGAUCCAGCCAUGCCGCGUGAGUGAUGAAGGCCCUAGGGUUGUAAAGCUCUUUUGUGCGGGAAGAUAAUGACGGUACCGCAAGAAUAAGCCCCGGCUAACUUCGU
RNAcentral lists this ribosomal RNA (434 nucleotides) under uncultured bacterium. RNAcentral's name for it is "partial 16S ribosomal RNA". It matches the Rfam family "Bacterial small subunit ribosomal RNA", at positions 29 to 506 of the family's 1533-position model. The record is from RNAcentral.